ACCAGCCCACGCUCACGGGCUGCCCACGCCGUUCGCUUCCCCGGAGGCUUGUUGUGAAGAACCACGCGGGUCCGGGUCGGGGUGGGGGGACGGACGGUGUUUGUAUCUGGAGAGAGGCAGAGGCAGGGUCCUCCGAGGGGUCAGGGCGGGGGAGGGGGAGCGUAUGUGCGCGCAUCCCAGCCGAGUACCUACCCGCUCUGCCCUCCAGAGCCGUGCACAGGAGGCAGGGUGGGGAGGAGAGCCGUCCAUCAGCGGCGUCUGAUCUGUGGGCGUCUGGCCGGAGACCAGCGUCCUCCCCGCUGGAGGAUUACUCUGUGUCGGGGCCCGUGUACCAACAAUAACGGCCACCGUCGAUUCGGCGUGGACGGCGUGCCAGGCAAAAGGGGGUUCCGUACAUUAUCGGCUAAUUCUCAAAUCACCGGCUCCGUGAGGGAGAUCAAGAAUGCAGCUUCAGCUUGCUUCUUGGCAAGGUUUUAGGUGGGGAAGAAGCAGUACUGACUGGCUUCACCGCUUUCCACAUGUGACCACGGGCAAAUCACUUACACUCUGCAGGCCCGUCUCUUCACGCGUAAACUGCGGGUAACAUCAACAGGGCUGUCUGAAGGACUCAGUGGGACUCCUUCCGUGAAGUGCUGGGUACACAGAAGGACCAGUAGAAUCUGCUCCCUACCGCUGGGGCGCAGGGUGCGUGGCUGGUCUUUCCUGGGCAGGAGACGUCUUUAGGAAGGGCUUCCCCUCCCACUGCCUUCCGAAAUGCCGUUCUCCAAGCUCUGCCUUCUGGAGCCCCCUCCAAGCAUCUCGCCAAGAGGGGCUUCUCUGGGCGUAAACACAAACAGGCAGGAGCGUCU
Molecule: long non-coding RNA, 848 nt
Organism: Panthera uncia (snow leopard)
Lineage: Eukaryota; Metazoa; Chordata; Mammalia; Carnivora; Felidae
Exons: 3
Source: RefSeq, a predicted model, not a curated record